Parelaphostrongylus tenuis is the source of this 73-nucleotide non-coding RNA. The record is from the annotation of a GenBank genome assembly. NCBI's taxonomy places the organism in Eukaryota, Metazoa, Nematoda, Chromadorea, Rhabditida, Metastrongylidae.
GCGUCUGUAGUGUAACGGAUGAGCACGGGCUCCCGAAAAGAGUGAGAUGCGGGUUCUAGUCUCGCCUGACGCG